AUCAUAAGGGAGGUAAAUAAGACAGCCAUUGAUUCUCCAGCCACUUGGAGGAUGGGAAGACAUUCAGUCCCAGGAUUCUCCAGUCACGCUGAGGAGAGGCAGCAGGAUCAGCCCAUUCAGCCUGAAGUAGCGGUUAAAAAGAAAAUCAAAUUACGGGCACUGGAGAUUCGACUCUCGGACAUCAGGAUCACUUGCUGCUUUCCCAGAGGACCUGAGUUUGUUUCCCAGCACCCAUGUCGGGCGGCCUACAACUGCUUGUAACACCAGCUCCAAGAGAUCAAUACCCUUCCCCAGCUUCUGAAGGCACCAGUACAUGCAAUGUCAGGUCCACACGGGAACAGAAGCCUGCUAGAUGGUAUUAGUACUGAGAGCUCUUUCAUGCUUUAAUCUUUUUUUGAAGGAUGCUUUUUUAAAAAUAAAAGUAAUGAUGCUAAA
Long non-coding RNA from Mesocricetus auratus (golden hamster), 435 nucleotides. RefSeq lists it as uncharacterized. The transcript is spliced from 2 exons. The record is from RefSeq and is a predicted model, not a curated record. NCBI's taxonomy places the organism in Eukaryota, Metazoa, Chordata, Mammalia, Rodentia, Cricetidae.